UCAACCGAGAUUCCCCCAGUAGCGGCGAGCGAACGGGGAGCAGCCCAGAGCCUGAAUCAGUGUGUGUGUUAGUGGAAGCGUCUGGAAAGGCGCGCGAUACAGGGUGACAGCCCCGUACACAAAAAUGCACAUGCUGUGAGCUCGAUGAGUAGGGCGGGACACGUGGUAUCCUGUCUGAAUAUGGGGGGACCAUCCUCCAAGGCUAAAUACUCCUGACUGACCGAUAGUGAACCAGUACCGUGAGGGAAAGGCGAAAAGAACCCCGGCGAGGGGAGUGAAAAAGAACCUGAAACCGUGUACGUACAAGCAGUGGGAGCACGCUUAGGCGUGUGACUGCGUACCUUUUGUAUAAUGGGUCAGCGACUUAUAUUCUGUAGCAAGGUUAACCGAAUAGGGGAGCCGAAGGGAAACCGAGUCUUAACUGGGCGUUAAGUUGCAGGGUAUAGACCCGAAACCCGGUGAUCUAGCCAUGGGCAGGUUGAAGGUUGGGUAACACUAACUGGAGGACCGAACCGACUAAUGUUGAAAAAUUAGCGGAUGACUUGUGGCUGGGGGUGAAAGGCCAAUCAAACCGGGAGAUAGCUGGUUCUCCCCGAAAGCUAUUUAGGUAGCGCCUCGUGAAUUCAUCUCCGGGGGUAGAGCACUGUUUCGGCAAGGGG
This 659-nucleotide ribosomal RNA is filed under the name Escherichia coli. RNAcentral's name for it is "partial 23S ribosomal RNA". It matches the Rfam family "Bacterial large subunit ribosomal RNA", at positions 225 to 925 of the family's 2925-position model. The record is from RNAcentral. Lineage: Bacteria; Pseudomonadati; Pseudomonadota; Gammaproteobacteria; Enterobacterales; Enterobacteriaceae.